CUUUCUUUUGGAAGAUCCACCAGAUGACCAGAAGGGACCAGCGGGUCUUGAUUGCAGUGCCAUAGAAACGGCUAAUCAAGAUGCUCAAAAGUACAACCAUGAACGCCAAGCCCAGAAAGACUUGGAUGGAAGAGACUUAUCAAUUGACCNNNNNNNGAGAAAACUGAAGAUUGUGCUUCAGAGGAAAAGCAACCUCCAGAUUCCUCAAAUGAUGAACCCACAGAGAAAUUAAAUGCUGCAAAUGAUGCAGUUACUGUAAAUUUUCAUGAGGAAGUUGAAAUUGGUAAAUUGAAGGAGUCUAGUGACUCAUUACAAAAGGAACCUCAGGUAAGUGCGUUAAAGGAAUUAAUUGAGAUGCAAUCCAAGUCUCCAUGUCCACCAAGUUCUAUAAAGGAG
RNAcentral lists this unclassified non-coding RNA (396 nucleotides) under Hevea brasiliensis (rubber tree). Lineage: Eukaryota; Viridiplantae; Streptophyta; Magnoliopsida; Malpighiales; Euphorbiaceae. The record is from RNAcentral.